AUUGAACGCUGGCGGCAGGCCUAACACAUGCAAGUCGAACGGUAACAGGAAGAAGCUUGCUUCUUUGCUGACGAGUGGCGGACGGGUGAGUAAUGUCUGGGAAACUGCCUGAUGGAGGGGGAUAACUACUGGAAACGGUAGCUAAUACCGCAUAACGUCGCAAGCCCAAAGAGGGGGACCUUCGGGCCUCUUGCCAUCGGAUGUGCCCAGAUGGGAUUAGCUAGUAGGUGGGGUAACGGCUCACCUAGGCGACGAUCCCUAGCUGGUCUGAGAGGAUGACCAGCCACACUGGAACUGAAACACGGUCCAGACUCCUACGGGAGGCAGCAGUGGGGAAUAUUGCACAAUGGGCGCAAGCCUGAUGCAGCCAUGCCGCGUGUAUGAAGAAGGCCUUCGGGUUGUAAAGUACUUUCAGCGGGGAGGAAGGGAGUAAAGUUAAUACCUUUGCUCAUUGACGUUACCCGCAGAAGAAGCACCGGCUAACUCCGUG
RNAcentral lists this ribosomal RNA (490 nucleotides) under uncultured bacterium. RNAcentral describes it as "partial 16S ribosomal RNA". It matches the Rfam family "Bacterial small subunit ribosomal RNA", at positions 30 to 507 of the family's 1533-position model. The record is from RNAcentral.